This 476-nucleotide ribosomal RNA is filed under the name Diplonychus indicus. RNAcentral describes it as "eukaryotic LSU rRNA". The record is from RNAcentral. Lineage: Eukaryota; Metazoa; Arthropoda; Insecta; Hemiptera; Belostomatidae.
AAUAUAAGAAAUAUUCAGAGUACGUGACACCGUUCGGGGGUAAACCUGCGAAACUCGAAUGAACGAACGGAAAGAUUCAUCGUCAUUCCUCGGCGUACGGACGCGCGCCUCGAUGCCUUCGGUCGUUUCACGGCCGUUGGCACGGGUCGCGUCCGUCGACGUCCGAGGACGGCGUGCACUUCUCUCUUAGUAAAUACAUCGCGACCCGUUCGAUGUCGGUCUAAGCGCCGUACGGGAGCCCCGUUGACCCUUCGCGGGGCCAGUGGGACCGCGACGGUGGCCGACCGGCCGUCGGACGGUAGUUCUGACGAAUCGCGCACGCGUUCUGUACGCGUCCGGCCCGACGCAAGUCAACGUCGUAUCAUACGUCUACGCCAUAGUGCGGACGUGUGUGCGGCGCGUCUGGUGUCGCAGCCGUGCUGUCUCGGACUGUGCGCGUCUCUGUCUGCGAUGAUCAGUUCGGCACUCCCGGGUUC